RNAcentral lists this long non-coding RNA (806 nucleotides) under Daphnia magna. Its description in RNAcentral is "uncharacterized LOC123475457, transcript variant X2". Lineage: Eukaryota; Metazoa; Arthropoda; Branchiopoda; Diplostraca; Daphniidae. The record is from RNAcentral.
UGAAAAGGUCCGAGGUUGGACUCGAGUCACUGAGACUGUGUUGGCUGUACCAGGUAAUUUGAAAGGUAAAAUCGCUCGUAACAAAAAUUGGGGCGCUAAAAGGACUUUAUUUCAAUUACCCAAAGGGUUUCUAACCGGGAUUUUUUUUUGCUGGUAUGGUUGUUUUUUUUCUGGUGUGGGUGCAUUUAGUUCUCGAUUGCCCAUUAGGUGGUUUUCGCCGAUUAGGCAGGCGAAAAUAAAAAAUAAUAAGUUUUCACGUGAAGGAUAGGGGUAUACUUUUUAAAACGCCAUUAGCGAGUCCUUUCAUAUGUUGUAUAGAAAUCGGUCGUUCGAAAAUACCUGAUAUGGAUGCAAAUUGCAAAUAAAAGAGCUCGUCUGGAUAAAAUAUACGAGCAGAGGAAGCAGUGUGAAAAACGAAAAGAGUUAGCAGGAAGGACUGUGGAAUCUUAUGAGAAAUUAGUAGAUUGAAGUAUAUCGUGUUUGGUACUUCUUUGAUACCUUGUUUGACAGAUGUUUUCAAUCAAAAACCAUUAGUUGCAGUUCGUACAUAUAUUCGGGAAAACCAAUUUUACCAAUAGCUCAACACAAUCUUCUACUUAGGAAGUGAACAGGUUUUUUAUUUGAAUAAUAACCUAGUUUUUUUUAUUUCAAUAAAUCAUCCCCAUAUUUGAUAUAUCAGACUCAGAAAAUAACCUAAAUCAAAUAUAAAACAAUAAGUUUCAAAAUAAAAACUAAAAUAUCAAGGUAUCAUAUUAUGUAUCCUCUAAUUCUAAAAUUUAAAACAAGAAAAAAGUGAAGAUAGAAAA